CGUUGCACUAUCGUUAACUGAAUACAUAGGUUAACGAGGCGAACCGGGGGAACUGAAACAUCUAAGUACCCCGAGGAAAAGAAAUCAACCGAGAUUCCCCCAGUAGCGGCGAGCGAACGGGGAGCAGCCCAGAGUCUGAAUCAGCUUGUGUGUUAGUGGAACGGUCUGGAAAGUCCGACGGUACAGGGUGAUAGUCCCGUACACCAAAAUGCACAGGCUGUGAACUCGAAGAGUAGGGCGGGACACGUGGUAUCCUGUCUGAAUAUGGGGGGACCAUCCUCCAAGGCUAAAUACUCCUGACUGACCGAUAGUGAACCAGUACCGUGAGGGAAAGGCGAAAAGAACCCCGGCGAGGGGAGUGAAAAAGAACCUGAAACCGUGUACGUACAAGCAGUGGGAGCACCUUCGGGUGUGACUGCGUACCUUUUGUAUAAUGGGUCAGCGACUUAUAUUCUGUAGCAAGGUUAACCGUAUAGGGGAGCCGCAGGGAAACCGAGUCUUAACUGGGCGUUAAGUUGCAGGGUAUAGACCCGAAACCCGGUGAUCUAGCCAUGGGCAGGUUGAAGGUUGGGUAACACUAACUGGAGGACCGAACCGACUAAUGUUGAAAAAUUAGCGGAUGACUUGUGGCUGGGGGUGAAAGGCCAAUCAAACCGGGAGAUAGCUGGUUCUCCCCGAAAGCUAUUUAGGUAGCGCCUCGUGAACUCAUCUUCGGGGGUAGAGCACUGUUUCGGCUAGGGGGUCAUCCCGACUUACCAACCCGAUGCAAACUACGAAUACCGAAGAAUGUUAUCACGGGAGACACACGGCGGGUGCUAACGUCCGUCGUGAAGAGGGAAACAACCCAGACCGCCAGCUAAGGUCCCAAAGUCAUGGUUAAGUGGGAAACGAUGUGGGAAGGCACAGACAGCCAGGAUGUUGGCUUAGAAGCAGCCAUCAUUUAAAGAAAGCGUAAUAGCUCACUGGUCGAGUCGGCCUGCGCGGAAGAUGUAACGGGGCUAAACCAUGCACCGAAGCUGCGGCAGCGACACUAUGUGUUGUUGGGUAGGGGAGCGUUCUGUAAGCCUGCGAAGGUGACCUGUGAGGGUUGCUGGAGGUAUCAGAAGUGCGAAUGCUGACAUAAGUAACGAUAAAGCGGGUGAAAAGCCCGCUCGCCGGAAGACCAAGGGUUCCUGUCCAACGUUAAUCGGGGCAGGGUGAGUCGACCCCUAAGGCGAGGCCGAAAGGCGUAGUCGAUGGGAAACAGGUUAAUAUUCCUGUACUUGGUGUUACUGCGAAGGGGGGACGGAGAAGGCUAUGUUAGCCGGGCGACGGUUGUCCCGGUUUAAGCAUGUAGGCUGAUUGUCCAGGCAAAUCCGGAUAAUCAAGGCUGAGGUGUGAUGACGAGGCACUACGGUGCUGAAGUAACAAAUGCCCUGCUUCCAGGAAAAGCCUCUAAGCAUCAGGUAACAUUAAAUCGUACCCCAAACCGACACAGGUGGUCAGGUAGAGAAUACCAAGGCGCUUGAGAGAACUCGGGUGAAGGAACUAGGCAAAAUGGUGCCGUAACUUCGGGAGAAGGCACGCUGGUGUGUAGGUGAAGUCCCUGCGGAUGGAGCUGAGACCAGUCGAAGAUACCAGCUGGCUGCAACUGUUUAUUAAAAACACAGCACUGUGCAAACACGAAAGUGGACGUAUACGGUGUGACGCCUGCCCGGUGCCGGAAGGUUAAUUGAUGGGGUUAUCCGUAAGGAGAAGCUCUUGAUCGAAGCCCCGGUAAACGGCGGCCGUAACUAUAACGGUCCUAAGGUAGCGAAAUUCCUUGUCGGGUAAGUUCCGACCUGCACGAAUGGCGUAAUGAUGGCCAGGCUGUCUCCACCCGAGACUCAGUGAAAUUGAACUCGCUGUGAAGAUGCAGUGUACCCGCGGCAAGACGGAAAGACCCCGUGAACCUUUACUAUAGCUUGACACUGAACAUUGAGCCUUGAUGUGUAGGAUAGGUGGGAGGCUUUGAAGCGUGGACGCCAGUCUGCGUGGAGCCAACCUUGAAAUACCACCCUUUAAUGUUUGAUGUUCUAACGUUGGCCCCUUACCGGGGUUGCGGACAGUGUCUGGUGGGUAGUUUGACUGGGGCGGUCUCCUCCCAAAGCGUAACGGAGGAGCACGAAGGUUAGCUAAUCCUGGUCGGACAUCAGGAGGUUAGUGCAAUGGCAUAAGCUAGCUUGACUGCGAGCGUGACGGCGCGAGCAGGUGCGAAAGCAGGUCAUAGUGAUCCGGUGGUUCUGAAUGGAAGGGCCAUCGCUCAACGGAUAAAAGGUACUCCGGGGAUAACAGGCUGAUACCGCCCAAGAGUUCAUAUCGACGGCGGUGUUUGGCACCUCGAUGUCGGCUCAUCACAUCCUGGGGCUGAAGUAGGUCCCAAGGGUAUGGCUGUUCGCCAUUUAAAGUGGUACGCGAGCUGGGUUUAGAACGUCGUGAGACAGUUCGGUCCCUAUCUGCCGUGGGCGCUGGAGAAUUGAGGGGGGCUGCUCCUAGUACGAGAGGACCGGAGUGGACGCAUCACUGGUGUUCGGGUUGUCAUGCCAAUGGCACUGCCCGGUAGCUAAAUGCGGAAGAGAUAAGUGCUGAAAGCAUCUAAGCACGAAACUUGCCCCGAGAUGAGUUCUCCCUGAGACUUUAAGUCUCCUGAAGGAACGUUAAAGACGAUGACGUUGAUAGGCCGGGUGUGUAAGCGCAGCGAUGCGUUGAGCUAACCGGUACUAAUGAACCGUGAGGCUUAACCUU
This 2763-nucleotide ribosomal RNA is filed under the name Klebsiella pneumoniae. RNAcentral's name for it is "23S ribosomal RNA". It matches the Rfam family "Bacterial large subunit ribosomal RNA". Lineage: Bacteria; Pseudomonadati; Pseudomonadota; Gammaproteobacteria; Enterobacterales; Enterobacteriaceae. The record is from RNAcentral.